RNAcentral lists this ribosomal RNA (253 nucleotides) under uncultured bacterium. RNAcentral describes it as "partial 16S ribosomal RNA". It matches the Rfam family "Bacterial small subunit ribosomal RNA", at positions 524 to 776 of the family's 1533-position model. The record is from RNAcentral.
UACGUAGGGUGCAAGCGUUGUCCGGAAUUAUUGGGCGUAAAGGGCUCGUAGGCGGUCUGUCGCGUCGGGAGUGAAAACUCGGGGCUUAACCCCGAGCCUGCUUCCGAUACGGGCAGACUAGAGGUAUGCAGGGGAGAAUGGAAUUCCUGGUGUAGCGGUGAAAUGCGCAGAUAUCAGGAGGAACACCGGUGGCGAAGGCGGUUCUCUGGGCAUUACCUGACGCUGAGGAGCGAAAGUGUGGGGAGCGAACAGG